GAUGAACGCUGGCGGUGUGCCUCAUACAUGCAAGUCGAACGGAUUUGUUUGAGUAGCAAUAUUUAGACAAGUUAGUGGCGAACGGGUGAGUAACACGUAGCUAACCUACCCUAAAUUCUGGGAUAACGUACCGAAAGGGACGCUAAUACCGGAUAAGACAAGUUGCCGCAUGGCAGCAGGUUAAAAGAUGGCCUCUGUUUACAAGCCGCGAUUAAGGAUGGGGCUGCGGUCCAUUAGGUAGUUGGUGAGGUAACGGCCCACCAAGCCUGCGAUGGAUAGCCGGACUGAGAGGUUGAACGGCCACAAUGGAACUGAGACACGGUCCAUACUCCUACGGGAGGCAGCAGUAGGGAAUAUUCCGCAAUGGGCGAAAGCCUGACGGAGCGACACCGCGUGAAUGACGAAAUCUUUCGGGAUGUAAAGUUCAGUCGGUUGGGGAAGAAGGGCUUCUAUACGAACAGUAUAGAGGAAGAGACGGUACCCAAAAUGAAGCCACGGCUAAUUACGUGCCAGC
RNAcentral lists this ribosomal RNA (514 nucleotides) under uncultured bacterium. Its description in RNAcentral is "bacterial SSU rRNA". It matches the Rfam family "Bacterial small subunit ribosomal RNA", at positions 28 to 512 of the family's 1533-position model. The record is from RNAcentral.